Molecule: ribosomal RNA, 504 nt
Filed under: uncultured bacterium
Lineage: Bacteria
Description: partial 16S ribosomal RNA
Rfam family: Bacterial small subunit ribosomal RNA
Source: RNAcentral
GACGAACGCUGGCGGCGUGCUUAACACAUGCAAGUCGAACGGGGAAGCGCUUGCCUUUUUGGCGGGUGUGGAUGAGUGGCGAACGGGUGAGUAACACGUGAGUAACCUGCCCUCUUCUUCUGGAUAACCUCAUGAAAGUGGGGCUAAUACGGGGUAUUCCGGGUCUGUCGCAUGGCGGGUUUGGGAAAGAUUGCGCCUUUGGGUGUUUUUGGGGGGGGAUGGGCUCGCGGCCUAUCAGCUUGUUGGUGGGGUGAUGGCAGACCAAGGCGGUGACGGGUAGCCGGAAUGAGAGGGUGGACGGCCGGUCUGAGAGGGAGACACGGCACAGCGUGCUGCGGAAGGCGGCAGUAGGGCAUCGUGCGGCAGCAGCGCGGAACUGAUGCCGCGGCGCGGAAGGCGGAAUGAGGGCCUUCGGGUUGGGGACCUCUUCCGCCGGUGUGGAAAGCCUGCUCCUGUGUGAGUAGAUUGACGGUACCUGGAUAAGAAGCGCCGGCUAACUACGUG